CAGAAGGGGAAUCAACUCCCUAUCCAUAUGUUACAUAAGGUGAUGUUCCAUGACAUCCAUCCUGACUCAGACACCUUUUAGCCAAACUGCAGUAACACUGUUCUGCUUGCACAUCCAUCUGGUCCAGUACUACCAGUGGCAGCCAGAAAACAGGACAGUAACAUGAGUUAGCUGCAAAGGUUGCUAAAUAUAAAGAGAACAGUCAGCGCAGGUAUUUUUACCCUUUUAGAGUUCAACACCACUCACAUUGCCAUAAUAUCAGGAGCUGCGUGGUUAUAAUGAAGCAUGUAAAGUGUUCUUUCCGAAAUAAGGUUUAAUGGCAUAUGCAUCACGCCAAGUUGAAUGGAGUGUUUGGCUGUACUCUGAGCAGCUCCCUGUCUGUUAAAGAUAGAUCAGCAAGCAAGAUGAGGAGAGAAAAUAGCAUGGGAAACAGGGGAAGAAGGCGAAAAGCCUUUUUGUCCCCGUCACCCUAUUAAUUUGAGGAGAACGAGGAAAUGCCAGCAGGAUUAAAUGCAUUACUCCGACGGCUUUUUCCCCACUUCUUUUUUUUUUUUUUUUUUUUUUUUUUACAAGUUCAAAUUAAAGGAUGGGGUGGAAGGAGGGGUGGGGUGGGCAUGGAGGAGGGUGGAGUAAGAGAAGAAAGGUGUUAAUUGCUUGCCAAUCGAUAAUUCUAUAAUUACUUUGUGACAAAUGGCUGGUUGGCGGUGCUAGGGUAGGUUCAAAGGAGGGUGGGGAGAAGGGUGGUCAGUGGGUGUGGAUGUUAAAAGGGAUCGGCCAUGAUCAGGAACGGAAAUAUUUGCUUUUGUGCCUGCAAGCCCGGCUGCCCCAGGGAUUUGUGACAGAGAAUUUAUGCCAGGUUUAAGCGCGGAGCUGAAUCCACCUGGGGCGGACGUCUUAGUGGGGGGAGUGCAUGUACACACAUGCAUGUACUGACACUCAGGCUACGAGUCUCGGCACAGUUUACCUGAUAUUUCUCCUCAGGCUGAGUGAGUCUACACGAGACAAUGGCCAAGGAGAGUAUAAAAGCAUAUUAAAGACAGGCUGGCAGAUUAUCAUUUUUGCACCAUUAAACUGUCACGCCGAUUCAAGAGGAGAGAGGGCUGUAAAAGGAAACCUGGAGAGAGGGGUUUGAAUUUGGCUAGAAGACUUUGAGUCUUCUAAUGCCUGUCACAGUUCACUAUUUUCCAAUCACAGUUUCAUUAUGCCAGCCAGGC
Molecule: long non-coding RNA, 1214 nt
Organism: Astatotilapia calliptera (eastern happy)
Lineage: Eukaryota; Metazoa; Chordata; Actinopteri; Cichliformes; Cichlidae
Source: Ensembl